GAUGAACGCUGGCGGCGUGCCUAAUACAUGCAAGUCGAGCGAUCAGAUGAGGAGCUUGCUCCUCUUACGUUAGCGGCGGACGGGUGAGUAACACGUGGAUAACCUACCUAUAAGACUGGGAUAACUUCGGGAAACCGGAGCUAAUACCGGAUAAUAUCUUUAACCGCAUGGUUCAAUAUUGAAAGACGGUUUUGCUGUCCCUUAUAGAUAUAUCCGCUCGGCUUUAGCUAGUUGGUAGGGUAACGGACUACCAAGGCAACGAUGCGUAGCGGACUUGAGAGGGGGAUGGGCAACACUGGAACUGGGACACGCUCAAGACCCCUACGGGAGGCAGCAGUGGGGAAUCUUGCGAAAUGAGCGAAAGCCUGACGGGGAAAGGCCGCGUGGGGAAGGAGGGUUUCGGGAUCGAAAACCUUUGUUAUUAGGGAAGACGAAAUGUGUAAGGAAAUAUGCACGUCUUGACGGUAACUAAUCAGAAAGCCACGGCUAACUACGUG
This 497-nucleotide ribosomal RNA is filed under the name uncultured bacterium. Its description in RNAcentral is "partial 16S ribosomal RNA". It matches the Rfam family "Bacterial small subunit ribosomal RNA", at positions 28 to 507 of the family's 1533-position model. The record is from RNAcentral.